ACUGCUAGAGAUCCGCUCGAUCUGGUCUGAAGGAAAGGAAGAGGUGCAGGCCGCCGUUGCUACUUGCGUUGUGAGCUUCUGCACCAGCCACCACCGCAGGUGUCGCUGCCAGAGAAGGGAGCUGCAUCUCUGUGAUUCCGACCGCCAGGAGUGGUUUUGUGACGUUAGGGACCACCGCCGGAGCUUCUGGCUACUGCUACCGUCGCCGGAAAAGGUUGCCGAUGUCGUGAUCGGAAUUUGUCGCCGCAGCCGCUUGAGGUGGCUGCCGGGCUGUUGCCGAGCCAGCCCGGAGAACGCCGCUGUUUCGGUUCAGCCGCUCUUUCUUAGUUUCGGAUAUGGGCGCAGAAGUUACGAAGAGUUUAUUUAGUUGUUGAGA
Molecule: non-coding RNA, 376 nt
Organism: Arachis ipaensis
Lineage: Eukaryota; Viridiplantae; Streptophyta; Magnoliopsida; Fabales; Fabaceae
Source: RefSeq, a predicted model, not a curated record